GGAGCGCUAGCUUCGGUGGAGGCGCUGGUGGGAUACCGCCCUGACUGUAUUGAAAUUCUAACCUACGGGUCUUAUCGACCCGGGAGACAGUGUCAGGUGGGCAGUUUGACUGGGGCGGUCGCCUCCUAAAGUGUAACGGAGGCGCCCAAAGGUUCCCUCAGAAUGGUUGGAAAUCAUUCGUAGAGUGCAAAGGCAUAAGGGAGCUUGACUGCGAGACCUACAAGUCGAGCAGGGACGAAAGUCGGGCUUAGUGAUCCGGUGGUUCCGCAUGGAAGGGCCAUCGCUCAACGGAUAAAAGCUACCCCGGGGAUAACAGGCUUAUCUCCCCCAAGAGUCCACAUCGACGGGGAGGUUUGGCACCUCGAUGUCGGCUCAUCGCAUCCUGGGGCUGUAGUCGGUCCCAAGGGUUGGGCUGUUCGCCCAUUAAAGCGGUACGCGAGCUGGGUUCAGAACGUCGUGAGACAGUUCGGUCCCUAUCCGUCGUGGGCGCAGGAAAUUUGAGAGGAGCUGUCCUUAGUACGAGAGGACCGGGAUGGACGCACCGCUGGUGUACCAGUUGUUCUGCCAAGGGCAUAGCUGGGUAGCUAUGUGCGGAAGGGAUAAGUGCUGAAAGCAUCUAAGCAUGAAGCCCCC
This 633-nucleotide ribosomal RNA is filed under the name Bacillus mycoides. Its description in RNAcentral is "partial 23S ribosomal RNA". It matches the Rfam family "Bacterial large subunit ribosomal RNA", at positions 2165 to 2797 of the family's 2925-position model. The record is from RNAcentral. Lineage: Bacteria; Bacillati; Bacillota; Bacilli; Caryophanales; Bacillaceae.